This 446-nucleotide ribosomal RNA is filed under the name uncultured bacterium. RNAcentral's name for it is "partial 16S ribosomal RNA". It matches the Rfam family "Bacterial small subunit ribosomal RNA", at positions 338 to 795 of the family's 1533-position model. The record is from RNAcentral.
CCUACGGGUGACAGCAGUCGAGAAUCAUUCACAAUGGGGGAAACCCUGAUGGUGCGACGCCGCGUGGGGGAAUGAAGGUCUUCGGAUUGUAAACCCCUGUCAUGUGGGAGCAAAUUAAAAAGAUAGUACCACAAGAGGAAGAGACGGCUAACUCUGUGCCAGCAGCCGCGGUAAUACAGAGGUCUCAAGCGUUGUUCGGAAUCACUGGGCGUAAAGCGUGCGUAGGCUGUUUCGUAAGUCGUGUGUGAAAGGCGAGGGCUCAACCCGCGGACGGCACAUGAUACUGCGAGACUAGAGUAAUGGAGGGGGAACCGGAAUUCUCGGUGUAGCAGUGAAAUGCGUAGAUAUCGAGAGGAACACUCGUGGUGAAGGCGGGUUCCUGGACAUUAACUGACGCUGAGGCACGAAGGCCAGGGGAGCGAAAGGGAUUAGAUACCCUAGUAGUC